RNAcentral lists this long non-coding RNA (785 nucleotides) under Homo sapiens (human). RNAcentral's name for it is "non-protein coding lnc-PDE6C-6:1". Lineage: Eukaryota; Metazoa; Chordata; Mammalia; Primates; Hominidae. The record is from RNAcentral.
GAAGAGGCUUCCAGCUUUCGCCAAGUCGCGGCUCCCAGUUUUUCCCUGGGCCUCCUUCCUUUCCCCUCUAGGGAAUCCGGCAUCUAGUACCGCUGGCACUGCUUGCUGCUUAGCCCACGCCUCUCAUUUGAAAAUAUAUUUUGUUUUACCGUGCCUAUCACCUGCCGUCCUCUCUCUAGUAACCUUAGUAACGCCUCCUCGGAGGAUCCUCUCAGAGCAGCUCAUCAGCGCUUCAGAUCAGCCUCUCCCUCCUUCCCCCAGUAAAACAGUUCUCAUAAUUAGAACAAAAAUAUCUCUCCAUCGUUUCGCCACCCACACAAUAGAUACCAUUCCAAAAGCAGUGCUGAUGGCAGAAGAGCUCAUCGAAUUUGUGAGGAAAGAAAGAAUAGGAGGAGAGAUUUCUCAGGGUUGAGGAUUCUCUGCCGACAAGCGACCUGGCACAUGCGAAAAGGGAUCCAAAAUAGAAUCUUAAAAAGAAGAAGAAAAAAGGCAGGAAAAGUUGGAUUAUUUUAAGCGCCACUAGGUUCUUCCUGUGCUUUGCGUUUUCUACAUCACGACGCCCCACUCUUUCCACUCUAGUUGUUUGGUUCAUGUCUUGUCUCUCGCUGGCAUUAGCAGCUAUUCAUUUUUUGCUUCCUCCUCAGUACCCAAAACGGUGCCUUGGAAAUCACAAGUGCUAAUUAAAUAUUUGUUGAAUUGAACUGGCACGCUUCUGGCGUUUACAGUGGGCCCUUUUUAGAGAAAACCUUGGCACUUAAUGCACAGUCAUUUUACAUCUUUUGCCC